GGAGUUAGCCGGUGCUUCUUCUGUGAGUGAUGUCCUUCCUGCCGGCUAUUAACCCGCAGGCCUUCUUCCUCACUGAAAGUGCUUUACAACCCGAAGGCCUUCUUCACACACGCGGCAUGGCUGGAUCAGGGUUGCCCCCAUUGUCCAAUAUUCCCCACUGCUGCCUCCCGUAGGAGUCUGGGCCGUGUCUCAGUCCCAGUGUGGCUGAUCAUCCUCUCAGACCAGCUACGGAUCGUCGCCUUGGUGAGCCGUUACCUCACCAACCAGCUAAUCCGACAUAGGCUCAUCCGAUAGCGCGAGGCCCGAAGGUCCCCCGNUUUCCCCCGUAGGGCGUAUGCGGUAUUAGCCUGGGUUUCCCCCAGGUUAUCCCCCGACUACCGGGCAGAUUCCUAUGCAUUACUCACCCGUCCGCCGCUCGCCACCAGGGAGCAAGCUCCCCGUGCUGCCGCUCGACUUGCAUGUGUUAGGCCUGCCGCCAGCGUUCAAUCUGAGCCAUAAUCAAACUCUGA
RNAcentral lists this ribosomal RNA (509 nucleotides) under uncultured bacterium. RNAcentral describes it as "partial 16S ribosomal RNA". The record is from RNAcentral.